This 254-nucleotide ribosomal RNA is filed under the name uncultured bacterium. Its description in RNAcentral is "partial 16S ribosomal RNA". It matches the Rfam family "Bacterial small subunit ribosomal RNA", at positions 524 to 776 of the family's 1533-position model. The record is from RNAcentral.
UACGAAGGGUGCAAGCGUUACUCGGAAUUACUGGGCGUAAAGCGUGCGCAGGCGGUGAUGUAAGACAGGUGUGAAAUCCCGGGCUUAACCUGGGAACUGCAUUUGUGACUGCAUCGCUGGAGUGCGGGCAGAGGGGGAUGGAAUUCCGCGUGUAGCAGUGAAAUGCGUAGAUAUCGGGAGGAACACCUGUGGCGAAAGCGGCUCACUGGACCAUAACUGACGCUGAGGAGGCGAAAGCGUGGGGAGCGAACAGG